GACGUAGGGGGCGAGCGUUGUCCGGAUUUAUUGGGCGUAAAGCGUGCGUAGGCGGCUGCGCAAGUCGGGUGUGAAACCCCGGGGCUCAACCCCGGAACUGCAUCCGAUACUGCGUGGCUAGAGGUAGGUAGGGGAGAUCGGAAUUCCUGGUGUAGCGGUGAAAUUCGUAGAUAUCGGGAGGAACACCAGUGGCGAAGGCGGCGACCUGGGCCAAUAUUGACGCUGAGGUGCGAAAGCGUGGGGAGCAAACAGG
Molecule: ribosomal RNA, 253 nt
Filed under: uncultured bacterium
Lineage: Bacteria
Description: partial 16S ribosomal RNA
Rfam family: Bacterial small subunit ribosomal RNA
Source: RNAcentral